This is a long non-coding RNA of Trichoplusia ni (cabbage looper), 576 nucleotides long. RefSeq lists it as uncharacterized. The transcript has 2 exons. Lineage: Eukaryota; Metazoa; Arthropoda; Insecta; Lepidoptera; Noctuidae. The record is from RefSeq and is a predicted model, not a curated record.
UAAACCGAUUUUGUUAAAUCUGUUUUCAUUUACCCUGAAAUUUCUGCCAUUUUUCCCCCCCAAAUGACAUCAAGUUUAUCUCAGUACUUUUUCAUUUGAAGUCGGUUGCAUGUUUUUGUUACAACAAUAUUAUAUUGAAAUAUCAAACCUCGGGCAUAGGCUAGCUAUCACCCGUAAUAUAACGAUACUUUCAAACAUUUCACGAACGUCUCAUCUCAUCUAUACACAUCCUUAGAAUUCCAAACGCGAAAAGCCGUAUAGAUAAAAACCCUAUAUUAAAAGUUACAUAAUAAAAUUAGCAUACAGGUAUAUAAGUGACAGGCUACUUAUGAACGAGGAAAACUUAUCCGAGCUCAUUACUUCGGGAAUAUUCAAGAAGACAACAUGAGAAUAUUGUUUUUAAUUUUGCUGUUCGUGUUUGCUUUUGCGCAGAAUAAUCAGAAAUCCAGUUCUACAAACUACAAAAGACCGGGUUUCAGGGGUGGAUACUUGCCGAAAUCGAAAAUCGUAUCGCUGUACAGGUCACAUAACAUUAGAAAUAAUGGCUAAUUUCAAUAAAACCGAAUUAAAAACUCA